Molecule: ribosomal RNA, 857 nt
Filed under: uncultured Verrucomicrobiota bacterium
Lineage: Bacteria; Pseudomonadati; Verrucomicrobiota
Description: bacterial SSU rRNA
Rfam family: Bacterial small subunit ribosomal RNA
Source: RNAcentral
GUUUGAUCCUGGCUCAGAACGAACGCUGGCGGCGUGGAUAAGACAUGCAAGUCGAACGAGACUUUUCGUUGUAGCAAUACGAUGGAAAGUUUAGUGGCGAACGGGUGCUUAACACGUGGGCAACCUGCCAUGAAGUGGGGGAUAGCUCGCCGAAAGGCGAAUUAAUACCGCAUGUGAUUAGAGAGGACAUCCUUUUCGAAAUUAAAGUCGGGGCAACCUGACGCUUCUUGUGGGGCCCGCGGCCUAUCAGCUAGUUGGUGAGGUAACGGCUCACCAAGGCUUUGACGGGUAGCUGGUCUGAGAGGACGACCAGCCACACUGGGACUGAGACACGGCCCAGACACCUACGGGUGGCAGCAGUCGAGAAUUUUUGACAAUGGGGGAAACCCUGAUCGAGCGACGCCGCGUGGAGGAUGAAGGUCUUCGGAUUGUAAACUCCUGUCAUUUGGGAACAAGGUGCACACGUUAACUGCGUGCGUAUUGAUAGUACCAGAAGAGGAAGAGACGGCUAACUCUGUGCCAGCAGCCGCGGUAAUACAGAGGUCUCAAGCGUUGUUCGGAUUCAUUGGGCGUAAAGGGUGCGUACGCGGCGCGGUAAGUCGGGUGUGAAAUCUCGGAGCUUAACUCCGAAACUGCAUUCGAUACUGCCGUGCUUGAGGACUGGAGAGGAGACUGGAAUUUAUGGUGUAGCGGUGAAAUGCGUAGAUAUCGUAAGGAAGACCAGUGGCGAAGGCGGGUCUCUGGACAGUUCCUGACGCUGAGGCACGAAGGUCAGGGGAGCAAACUGGAUUAGAUACCCCGGUAGUCCUGACAGUAAACGGUGCACGUUUGGUGUGGGAGGAUUCGACCCCUUCUGC